AGUGAACGCUGGCGGUAGGCCUAACACAUGCAAGUCGAACGGCAACACAGUAAGAUCUUGCUCUUACGGGUGGCGAGUGGCGGACGGGUGAGGAGUGCAUCGGAAUCUACUUUUUCGGGGGGGAUAACGUAAGGGGACUUACGCUAAUACCGCAUACGACCUACGGGUGAAAGCAGGGGAAAUUCUGGCCUUGCGCGAUUGAAUGAGCCGAUGUCGGAUUAGCUAGUUGGGUGGGUAAAGGCCUACCAAGGCGACGAUCCGUAGCUGGUCUGAGAGGAUGAUCGGCCACACUGGAACUGAGACACGGUCCAGACUCCUACGGGAGGCAGCAGUGGGGAAUAUUGGGCAAUGGGCGCAAGCCUGACCCAGCAAUACCGCGUGGGUGACGAAGGCCUUCGGGUCGUAAAGCCCUUUUGUUGGGAAAGAACAGCUGUAGGUUAAUACCCCGCUGUUCUGACGGUACCCAAUGAAUAAGCACCGGCUAACUACGUG
Molecule: ribosomal RNA, 492 nt
Filed under: uncultured bacterium
Lineage: Bacteria
Description: partial 16S ribosomal RNA
Rfam family: Bacterial small subunit ribosomal RNA
Source: RNAcentral